RNAcentral lists this ribosomal RNA (258 nucleotides) under uncultured bacterium. RNAcentral describes it as "partial 16S ribosomal RNA". It matches the Rfam family "Bacterial small subunit ribosomal RNA", at positions 1235 to 1500 of the family's 1533-position model. The record is from RNAcentral.
AGGUACAGAGGGAUGCUACCGGGCGACCGGAUGCGGAUCUCGAAAGCCUGUCCCAGUUCGGACUGGAGUCUGCAACCCGACUCCACGAAGUUGGAUUCGCUAGUAAUCGCGCAUCAGCCAUGGCGCGGUGAAUACGUUCCCGGGCCUUGUACACACCGCCCGUCAAGCCAUGGGAGCCGGGGGGUGCCUGAAGUGCGCUGCCGCAAGGAGCGCCCUAGGGUAAAACCGGUGACUGGGGCUAAGUCGUAACAAGGUAUC